GGCGCGCCCCCUGGACUGGUGAAACAGGCGGGGUUAGCGUAUCCACUGCUUCCUGGCCGCCAGGGCGGCGUGGAUCCCGGCCCCGGGUUUUGACAGCGGGCCCCGACCUCAGGUAACCGCGCCUCCCGCCGCCCCCGCCGCCGCCCUAUAUGUGGCGCGUCGCGGCUGCCGGGCCAUGGAGCACGCCUGCCGUCCCCCACAAUGGAGCUGGCCGAGCGGUUCCUGCUGGACGCGCUCGCGUACCUGGAGUGCGCCCUGGGCUUCCUGUGCUACGUGCUGCUGAAGCUGGUGGGCUCGCCCUACGGGCGCUACGCGUCGCCGCGCUCCGCAUUUCGGCUGCCGGCGCGGGCCGCCUGGGCGGUGCAGGAGCUGCCCUCGCUGGCGGUGCCGCUCCUCGCAUGCGCAGGCGCGCCCGCCGAGCGCCUCAACCGCUGGCCCAACUGCAUCCUCCUGACCAUGUUCCUCGUCCACUACGCGCAAAGGGCCUUGAUUUUCCCAUUUCUCAUCCGAGGAGGAAAGCCCAUGCCAUUGUACACCUUUAUGCUGGCAUUCAUGUUCUGCACCUAUAAUGGCUACUUGCAGAGCAGAUACCUGAGCCAGUAUGCGGUAUAUGCUGACAGCUGGCUCACUGACCCCCGAUUUCUAACAGGUUUUGUCUUGUGGUUGUUAGGCAUGCUGAUAAACAUCCACUCAGAUCAUGUCCUAAGGAACCUCAGGAGACCAGGGGAGACUGGAUAUAAAAUACCAAAGGGGGGCUUGUUUGAAUACAUCACUGCAGCCAACUACUUCGGAGAGGUCGUCGAGUGGUGCGGCUACGCCCUCGCCAGCUGGUCCAUCCAAGGCUGGGCUUUUGCUGUGUUCACCUUCUGUGUCCUGCUCACCAGGGCUCAGCAGCACCACCAGUACGUUUGAAAACACUUUUGGCGUUUCUAAUUUGUCCUCCGACCUUGGUAGAGCAACCUGCAGGUGGUACCAUGAGAAAUUUGAAGACUAUCCAAAAUUCAGAAAAAUUAUGAUUCCAUUUUUGUUUUAAGUUUGUUGUCAAUGGGGUUACCUUAAGCUUGAAGCUUUUCGAUCAUGUUUCUCUCAGGAUGAUAUAAAUGAAUUUAUGUCUCUGUAAUUUUUCUGCUACUUCACCUUUUUCAAGAUUUGCUCUAGGAUUGUGUAAAUGAGUAAACUAUCUAAUAACAGUAGCAAAUGUGUAAGCUACCUAAUCACAGUCUAAUCAAACUGAAAUGGCAGGUGGAAGUAUGACGCUGCAUACCAGGUCACGGAUCUGGAACUCUGUAAUUGCAGCUUGACCCUCCUCUGAUUUGUUUGCCUCUAUGGACCAAAACAUUCUCUACCCCUUGCACAACUCCCUACAGCAAUGGGUUUAAGGUCAAAGGUGAUGUUGUCCCCUCCCCCUAUGGAGGCGUGUUCUGUCUUCAUGUCCCUCUCAUCCCCCUAGGUCGGAGAGGCCUGGGUCCCCACAGAGUACCCACCACAGCCUCUCACUGUUGGGUGCUGGGCAGGCGGAGAAGUUGGGCGUAGGGAGAGGAGAGGCCCAGCGGAGGCCGGUGCAAAAGGCCUCUGGCACCUGCUCCAGCCUGGACCACCAGGUGACUUCACUGGCAGGACAGGGCACUGGGGGCAUUCUUAAGGAGCAAGCUGCUGUGUCCCCCAUGAAAGGGACUUACUUCCUGGAGGCCCUGAGCUGGGAGCACGAAGGUGCUGUGGGACAGCCUUCCCAUCUCGGGUCACUCGCCAUGAGCCAUUAGGAGUCUCUGGCUUGGGAUGAUUUUUCUUCCUCCUUCUAGGUAGAAGUUUUUAAAGGCACUUUUUCUUUUUAAGUACCUCUCAAUAUUGCAAAACUAUAAUUUGAAGCAGAAUUUCUUAUUUUAGAUGCACUCAAAACCUCCACGGAGAUGAAUGACAGUAAUAAAAUGUACUACUUAUUGCCAGAUAUGUAAAAGAAGUCUCCCCACUGGAAGGCUACCUACUGAGUCUCUUGGUCCCUCUGUGAAAAUCCAACGAACACAUGGUACAGACCCCUCCUCACCUGGGACAGCACUACCUCUAUUGUUCCCACAUUUGUAGGGGUGGGAACCGAGCAAGGUGUAAGUGGAGAGAGUCCGUGUGCACUUAUGCUCGCUAACGAUGCUGGGUGGCAGAGGCCUCCGGGACACGCCUGACGUUGCGUCCUGUAUGUUCUCCGACCGACUGCCACCUUUGGGCAGGGAGCAGGCCCUCCUGCCCCUGCACCCCGGGCCCCUGGGCACCCCAUCGGCUCCCUCCCGCUUCUCCUGGCUCACCUUCCCAACCAGGGGCUCCCUCCCCAUGAGGUUUCAUGUAGAAACUGUGUUCUUGGUGUUAGUGGUUUUUAGAGUCCCUUAGGGUUUUAGAAUUACACGGAAAACUUUUCCUGAUGUGGUUGGGCUUCAUUUUUAACUAAAAAUUGAAUGCUUUUGUGGGGAAAUUUUAUGAUCAAAUAAGCUUUGGCCCUUUUUCUGACUGAAUAAUUACUUGAAACCAUAAAACAAUAAAUAUUUAGGAUCUCCUCCAGAAAACUCAAAAAUCUGAGCGAGUCUUGACUGAUUUGGGCCUCUGGGCUCUGGAAGGUGUACCUGGCCAGAAAGAUGCCUGUCUGAGAGCUAGAGAUGCUCACUGUGAUUUUUACUUCUGUUGGUGCUUCUUUUUUAUUUGAGUGACCAAAAGUUUGGGUUAAGUGGGGAUUUGAGGCAUGGUGCUACUUCACUGUCAUGUGCUGGGUGGAUGAUUGACAGCACAAAAUCUUGUUCUAUCUUGUCUGCCUGUCUUCCCUUUGCUAAAAACCGUAACUGGCAAAUUAUGACAAUUUGUUAUUGUGUUAGUUAACAAUAAUUAAGGAGAUUAAUAAAAUUACUGGUAAAA
This is an RNA transcript of Balaenoptera ricei (Rice's whale), 2892 nucleotides long. It is a transcript of the gene named steroid 5 alpha-reductase 1, with no coding region annotated. The transcript has 5 exons. NCBI's taxonomy places the organism in Eukaryota, Metazoa, Chordata, Mammalia, Artiodactyla, Balaenopteridae. The record is from RefSeq and is a predicted model, not a curated record.